Panicum virgatum (switchgrass) is the source of this 139-nucleotide small nucleolar RNA. RefSeq annotates it as small nucleolar RNA Z247. Lineage: Eukaryota; Viridiplantae; Streptophyta; Magnoliopsida; Poales; Poaceae. The record is from RefSeq and is a predicted model, not a curated record. The transcript has a single exon.
CCACUCGAUGAUGAGGAACUGAUCUCCUACAUCCUCGCCGGCCUUGAGUACGACUACAACCCCAUCGUGUCAGCGAUCGUCUCAAGGACCGACGCAAUCUCCAUCGGCGAAGUCUUCUCCCAGCUGCUCAGCUUUGAGC